UACGUAGGGGGCAAGCGUUGUCCGGAAUUAUUGGGCGUAAAGAGCGUGUAGGCGGUUCAAUAAGUCUGCUGUAAAAGUCGGGGGCUCAACCCCCGAAAGCCGGUGGAUACUGUUGAGCUAGAGUACGGAAGAGGCGAGUGGAAUUCCUGGUGUAGCGGUGAAAUGCUCAGAUAUCAGGAGGAACACCAAUUGCGAAGGCAGCUCGCUGGGACGUUACUGACGCUGAGGCGCGAAAGCGUGGGGAGCAAACAGG
Molecule: ribosomal RNA, 253 nt
Filed under: uncultured bacterium
Lineage: Bacteria
Description: partial 16S ribosomal RNA
Rfam family: Bacterial small subunit ribosomal RNA
Source: RNAcentral